This 231-nucleotide ribosomal RNA is filed under the name uncultured bacterium. Its description in RNAcentral is "partial 16S ribosomal RNA". It matches the Rfam family "Bacterial small subunit ribosomal RNA", at positions 335 to 583 of the family's 1533-position model. The record is from RNAcentral.
ACUCCUACGGGAGGCAGCAGUGGGGAAUCUUGGGACAAUGGGGGCAACCCUGAUCCAGCCAUGCCGCGUGAGUGAUGAAGGCCCUAGGGUCGUAAAGCUCUUUCGCCUGUGAAGAUAAUGACUGUAGCAGGUAAAGAAACCCGCGUACAUCCGUGCCAGCAGCCGCGGUAAUACGGAGGGGGUUAGCGUUGUUCGGAAUUACUGGGCGUAAAGCGCGCGUAGGCGGACUGG